Molecule: transfer RNA, 79 nt
Filed under: Acropora cervicornis
Lineage: Eukaryota; Metazoa; Cnidaria; Anthozoa; Scleractinia; Acroporidae
Description: tRNA-Val
Rfam family: tRNA
About the family: Transfer RNA (tRNA) molecules are approximately 80 nucleotides in length. Their secondary structure includes four short double-helical elements and three loops (D, anti-codon, and T loops).
Source: RNAcentral
GGUGUUUCGUAACUCAGUUGGUUAGAGCACUUCAUUGACAUUGAAGAGGACAUGGUUUCGAAUCCCAUUAAAGACACCU